Molecule: ribosomal RNA, 584 nt
Filed under: uncultured Dechloromonas sp.
Lineage: Bacteria; Pseudomonadati; Pseudomonadota; Betaproteobacteria; Rhodocyclales; Azonexaceae
Description: bacterial SSU rRNA
Rfam family: Bacterial small subunit ribosomal RNA
Source: RNAcentral
UCUCCUACGGGAGGCAGCAGUGGGGAAUUUUGGACAAUGGGGGCAACCCUGAUCCAGCCAUGCCGCGUGAGUGAAGAAGGCCUUCGGGUUGUAAAGCUCUUUCGGCCGGGAAGAAAUCGCACAGGCUAAUACCCUGUGUGGAUGACGGUACCGGAAUAAGAAGCACCGGCUAACUACGUGCCAGCAGCCGCGGUAAUACGUAGGGUGCGAGCGUUAAUCGGAAUUACUGGGCGUAAAGCGUGCGCAGGCGGUUUGUAAGACAGAGGUGAAAUCCCCGGGCUCAACCUGGGAACUGCCUUGUGACUGCGAGGCUAGAGUACGGCAGAGGGGGGUGGAAUUCCACGUGUAGCAGUGAAAUGCGUAGAGAUGUGGAGGAACACCGAUGGCGAAGGCAGCCCCCGGGCCGAUACUGACGUCAUGCACGAAAGCGUGGGUAGCAAACAGGAUUAGAUACCCUGGUAGUCCCGCCCUAAACGAUGUCAACUAGGUGUUGGGUGGGUAAAACCAUUUAGUACCGUAGCUAACGCGUGAAGUUGACCGCCUGGGGAGUACGGCCGCAAGGUUAAAACUCAAAUGAAUGACGG